GACGAACGCUGGCGGCGUGCUUAACACAUGCAAGUCGAACGGUAAGGCCCUUCGGGGUACACGAGUGGCGAACGGGUGAGUAACACGUGGGUGAUCUGCCCUGCACUUCGGGAUAAGCCUGGGAAACUGGGUCUAAUACCGGAUAGGACCACUGCCUGCAUGGGUGGUGGUGGAAAGCUUUUGCGGUGUGGGGUGGGCCCGCGGCCUAUCAGCUUGUUGGUGGGGUGAUGGCCUACCAAGGCGACGACGGGUAGCCGGCCUGAAAGGGUGACCGGCCAGACUGGGACUGUGAUACGGCCCAGACUCCUACGGGAGGCAGCAGUGGGGAAUAUUGAACAAUGGGCGUAAGCCUGAUGCAGCGGCGCCGCGUGAGGGAUGACGGCCUUCGGGUUGUAAACCUCUUUCAGCACCGACGAAGCGAAAGUGACGGUAGGUGCAGAAGAAGGACCGGCCAACUACGUGCCAGCCGCCGCCGUAA
This 478-nucleotide ribosomal RNA is filed under the name uncultured bacterium. Its description in RNAcentral is "partial 16S ribosomal RNA". It matches the Rfam family "Bacterial small subunit ribosomal RNA", at positions 28 to 523 of the family's 1533-position model. The record is from RNAcentral.